UAACUCUGCAAACUAGGCUAAGAUGCACAG
Molecule: non-coding RNA, 30 nt
Filed under: Homo sapiens (human)
Lineage: Eukaryota; Metazoa; Chordata; Mammalia; Primates; Hominidae
Source: RNAcentral